RNAcentral lists this unclassified non-coding RNA (1813 nucleotides) under Hevea brasiliensis (rubber tree). The record is from RNAcentral. Lineage: Eukaryota; Viridiplantae; Streptophyta; Magnoliopsida; Malpighiales; Euphorbiaceae.
GUCAGAAAUAAGUCCCAAUGCAACAAAUUAAUAAAAGAUGGAUUACAUAUUCAGCCGUGUUUAAAAUGCGAGCUGCAGAAAACUCAAUCUGGCGUAUAUUCAAACAAUGCGGCAUAACCCCAUGAAAACCGGGUGAUCAUCCCACCUUCUUAGAAGAAAAUUUUCCAUGCCUCAUUUCAAAUACAAAAACAUUUUCAAUGCUUAAAGUAUCCUGGUAAUGCAUAUAAAACGCAAAAAUUACCUAGCGAUCCUAAAUGGCUAAGACAUCUAGUAAAGAAUCUAUCCCCUAAUGAAUUUUAAACACAAAAAAGAACGUAAUCAGAUUCAGCUUGUCAAGUGAUUAGAUGAUAAAACUAGACAAGUGAUCUACUCUUUGACUUGAACCUCAGACUUUUGGACUGAUGAACUUAACACUCUCCAUCAACAUAAGUUGUUAGUGUCAUGGAGCUACAGCCUACAGAGACAUACUCUCAACACAGAUUUUACUUGGAGCUCUAAUUGUAUUUUUUUAGCACCAGCCGCAGCUUCAGUUCAAAGCUAUUGUCUCUGAACUUUCCACUUCUCCCAUCAAUCCGUAGCCAAAAGUUUCUGCAAUUGACCAAUCUGGACAGCAGCUUUGAGAUCAUCAGAGCCACCAAUAUGCUUGCCAUUCACAAAUACUUGUGGGACAGUGCGUCGGCCUACUAGAUCCAGAAGAACAUACUGAAUUUGAGCCCCAUCAUCUCGAAGAUCUAGUUCCACAACAUAUGGUUGCUCAUGUAGUUCACUGAAUAUGCGCUUGGCACGCAUGCAAUACCUAGUGACAAAGGAAAACAAAGCACAGUUCCUCAUUCCACAUCGCCCGAUCAUUAUCUAAGUUGUUCCGUUUCAAAUUGUCUAUCAGCUAAUUUAAGGUGCUUUUAUACUAUGACUAUUAGCCAGAAAGGCUUGGAUAGUAACAGUAAGAAAACUUUAAAAGACCACUGCAUCUAUAGCACAAUUACACAAAUCAAAGAAAACGUAACUGCAAUUUUAUACUGUGACUAUUAGCCAGAGAAGCCUGGAUAGUAAAAAAUAUAUAUAUAUAUCGAGAUAAAGAAAUUAUGAAAAGAAAAACAGAUCUAAUACAAAUUAAAUGCAACAAUUGGAAAUGGAAGGUGAAUGCAGAUUGCAUUUGCAUCAUCCAAUACAUAGAUGGAAUAGUAGAACAAAUAUUUCUAGGCCUGAAUUAAUGGGCAACUAGAGGAAAAUAGUUCACUAACAGUAAUAGAUCAAAUUUUGAUAGGAAUCAGAGAAUAAAGUAGCGAAAAAUACAAAGAGAAGAUCACUAUUCUGGAAUUUAAUCUAUUUCGGUUCCAAACUUAUUAACCCAUAAUUGAAACAGAACAAGUCUCCCAUUAGUUUAUUUCCAAUCCAAUUGUACCAGAAGAGGCAGUAAUUCCCAAAAUUAUCAACACCAAAACCAUAAAUUUCUACUUCUUCAAAAAAAAAAAUAAAGGAAAUUUAAUCAUGGAGAAAAGGAAAAAAGAAAUAAUCGGGCAUACGGGCAGUAGGAUUUGGAGAAGAUGACAAUCCUUUGGGAGUGGAUGACAUUCUGUACAAAAGCCGAUGCUGAAUUCGAUGCAUAGGCUCCUUUGGAUUCAUUUAUCAAUACUAACAACGACAAUACUAACACAAACGAAGAAACUGAAACUCCUUGAAGAUGCAUUUUCAUCUUCAGUUUCAGCCAGGAAUUAUCACUGUUUGCAUAUGGACUCUCUAAGCGGUUUGGAUUGUCAGGAAACGAAUUCCAGCGUGAAAACCACGCAAUUGCAGGGAAGAAACAAGGCCCAAG